Molecule: long non-coding RNA, 190 nt
Organism: Saccostrea cuccullata (small rock oyster)
Lineage: Eukaryota; Metazoa; Mollusca; Bivalvia; Ostreida; Ostreidae
Exons: 3
Source: RefSeq, a predicted model, not a curated record
GGGAAAGAUUUUCCACACUUACAGUAAGCCUGAUAAGAGACUGUCUGAGACUGUCAGUGCUGAGGAAAAGUGUCCAUCUUUUUAUCAUAAUCAUAUCCCGAAUAUCCAUUCCUAUGCCAAGUCAGAAACACAAAUGGUGACAACUCCCAAAAAAAAUAUUCCUAAAAGGCCAAGGGGAACCCCAACAGGA